GUUGAACUGUGAUCGGAGGUCCUCAAGGGUCAUCAUGGGCUCUGAGGGGUUCUGAUGGUGGCUCACCAGGUCAAGUCGCGCCAGACUCUCACUGCUCUCGCUCCUCGUUAUCCAGUUGCUGCCGAGACAAGGACACGUUAGCAAAGAGAUCCACACCCACAUACACUCCCACACCAACACUUACCUGGAUGAGAAGUAGUUGUCAGAGGUGUUGUGGAUCAUCCCGCAAGACAUGGCUGGCUGAAGGUGAUUUGACGUUGGCAGAGGAGAGUGUAACACGCUAGACCCUGGGGAGGAAGGCGAGAGAGGAGUUAGUCUGGGCGUUCGGCAAGACUGACUGACUGGAGCUAUCUAAGCUUGCUUGACCUCGAAACAGCAGGCAGCAGAAGUACAGCAGGAAGGGGGUGAGAAGGAAGGAGGAAGAAGGAAAGAAGGAAUGAAGGAAGGAAGGGACGGUAAGUGGAAUCGUAUCAUCUUUCUCUUUUCACGAUUUCUUUCUGAUGUUAUUUUCUUAUUUUCAUUCUUAUUUUCAUUCUCAUUUUCUUUAUUUUCUUUCUUCUUCCCUCCUCCCUCUCUCUUCCCUCCCCUUCCUUCUCUUUCUUAUUCCCUCCCUCCUCCCUUCCUUCUCUCUCCCCUUCCCUCCCUUUCCCCUUCCUCUCUUUUCCAUCUUCUUCCUUCCCUCCUCCCUCUCUUGA
Long non-coding RNA from Eriocheir sinensis (Chinese mitten crab), 695 nucleotides. RefSeq lists it as uncharacterized. NCBI's taxonomy places the organism in Eukaryota, Metazoa, Arthropoda, Malacostraca, Decapoda, Varunidae. The record is from RefSeq and is a predicted model, not a curated record. The transcript has 3 exons.